This 1451-nucleotide long non-coding RNA is filed under the name Rattus norvegicus (Norway rat). RNAcentral describes it as "long non-coding RNA NONRATT031909". The record is from RNAcentral. Lineage: Eukaryota; Metazoa; Chordata; Mammalia; Rodentia; Muridae.
CUUUUUAUCUCGCUCUAGGUCAGACACUGCAGUGCCUCAAGAUAUCUGGUAGAUAUCAUAAUCUCAGUCAGCAAAGUGUCUCACCCACUUUGCUCCACCCCAUACCGCACUGCUGAUGGUCUCUCUGUGAGCCUGGCAGCAAUCUCUCUACCCAUCUAUUUCCCAAGGCAGGUUGCCACCAUGCCAGAAAUAUACAUCCCAAUUCCGUGGCGGCCUUGUGUCUCCACCACCACACACUCUCUUAAACUUAAAUCGCCACAAGAAAGAACAUACAACACAAUCACCUCUGAUCCCAUCGAUGAGAUAUAACUGCCCACCUAAACAUACAAAGUCUUGUACACAUCCAUCCCUUAAGAACAUUCAUCACAACCUGUAAAGGUAGAGUGGAAUCUUAGCAUCUGCCUCCAUGUUCUCUUGAUGGCUUCCUCUCCAAUCUCCUUCCGUUCCAGUUUCCUCUUCCCUCAAACUUUUCUCCCGUCCAUCCUUCCUUCUUGUCCAAUGACAGGCCUCAUUCUAUCUUGUACCUGCCUCCACCUGUAUGACAUCCUACAAUCUCCAUAAAGCUAGGUGCCACACCCAUCACAAACCUAGGUCAUAUGGUGUGUGUGCACACAUAUAUAUUGCUCCUGGGACCUUGUCAUCAAAACAGCACAAAUCAAUCAAAAGGGAAACUAAAGCAAACGAGAGGUGCCUGAGACCCCUAUUGACACAGAAGUUACUCCAGACAACGAUUCAAGAGGCUGUCACCCACACACAAAGGACACCACCCACUUGUACGGAGCCGUAUUGGAUUUGGGCCUGGUGGCUUUGUGACUGUAUGGCCAUAAAGUCUUGAGAUUGUUGGACAAAAGCCUCUCCCAUGAAUUUACGGCACAGGAAGAAAAUAAACACGGAAUGCUUUCAGCCCGAACAAAUACCAAGUAUCUCCUGACACCCGGUGUCUCCACCGCAUGACCCCUGCUGAGCCCGGCUGAUGCAUGUGGAACUGACACACCUGGGCCACACCUGGGCCACACCUGGGCCACACCUGGGCCACACCUGGGCCACACCUGGGCCACACCUGGGCCACACCUGGGCCACACCUGGGCCACACCUGGGCCACACCUGGGCCACACCUGGGUGGUGGUCAAUUCGCUCCUGCCUUUUGCUUUCUCAGCCUUUGUCCUUGAGAUUUAGGCUGGUCUUCUCGGAUUUCUCCCUAAUUAAUUCAGGUCUCCUAGUAGUCGGUCUUUUGUUACGAAGUCACUCUUGAGCCAGGGUUUCCCACUGUACUUCCCAGAUAUUUUCUACCUGGGGAACUUGGGUAUAUAAGUGUGAAUAAAGCUACAGGAGUCUCUCUCUCUCUUCCUCUCCUGGCUUGACAUGAAUAACCUGCCUGAUUCUCGGUACCGUGUUGGUGCGGGCAUGGGGCACCAAUACCCACUCGCUGGGAUCCUGAAAGGCUUCAGUCU